AGGAGGGAGGACACGAUUAACCUUAGCUCUAAUUAGCUAAUUAUCGCGACCUUUUAAUUACAUUCUUUGAACGAUUCAUCUUUUCUUUCUUUAUAACCUCUACAUAUUGGACACAAGAGCUAGAGCAAAGUAAGCCUUUUCUCCUACUGGAGGUACCCCUAUGGCCAAGUUGUCAGGACCUGAAGAUCCCUGUGAGAAGCAUCCCAGGCACUCUGAUCUUGUCUCUGUGAGAAGCACUCUUGAUCCUGGAGACAGGAUCCCUAUGAGGAGCACCCCAGGCACUCCUGUCUCCAAGAUCCCUGUGAGAAGCACCCCAGGCACUCCUGUCUCUGUGAUAAAGCUGCAACAUGGUUCAGAGUGUUUCCAACAUGAAGAACAUCAAUGACACUAACAGUCUCAGCUUCUAGCACUCCAUUAUUUGUAUGGUUUGCUCUGUGCCUGCAAGAAUUGCCUGUCACUCAUACUACAGUACUGUUCUGUGUGUUCCAAUAUGUAGAGGUUAUAAAGAAAGAAAA
Molecule: long non-coding RNA, 515 nt
Organism: Halichondria panicea
Lineage: Eukaryota; Metazoa; Porifera; Demospongiae; Suberitida; Halichondriidae
Exons: 2
Source: RefSeq, a predicted model, not a curated record